Athalia rosae (coleseed sawfly) is the source of this 3360-nucleotide long non-coding RNA. RefSeq lists it as uncharacterized. The record is from RefSeq and is a predicted model, not a curated record. Lineage: Eukaryota; Metazoa; Arthropoda; Insecta; Hymenoptera; Athaliidae. The transcript has 3 exons.
AAAAUUUAAAAAAAAAAAAUGACGCCAUCGGUUGACUUUACCAUACCUCGGAUUCUAACUGAGAAAUGCAGAAUAUUCAGUCGCACGUUGCGUGCCCUAUGAGCCUGCGAAGGCUGACGGCGUCGGACAGACGCCGGUUUACGUUGUUAGGAAUUUAAAGAAUUCAAAAAUCGGUUUAACUUGCUGCAGCGGCGAGGUUGUCCUACCGGAAGCCGGUUUUAUAACCUAAAGCCGUAAGCGCAAGAUUCAGACUUCUGCAUACCUGGAAAAUUGAGUCAUAAUAGCGGCGAUUUUAGUCACCGACUUUUACAUUUCGGAAUUCAAAAGCCAAGUGCCAAUGGGUCCUUACAAUAAUCUUAUCUUUCAAAAAUAUGACGACAACUUUCCCAAAUGCCAAUGGGUACCCUGUGUAUACGUUUAUAAUAUCCACCGCGACUUCCUAUACAAGAAAUAGUUGACAUUCCAUCGCUUUAUUUUGGGCUUCAAUUUUUUUUCCCCCCUCUGAAGAAACGAACUCUCUUGUUAUCAUCGGCAUCGAUGUGCCCUGCCGAACGUUUGACUUUGAUGGGAAAAAAAAGAAAACAAAAAAAACAACAAUAUCGUAAUACACUUUUUAUCUCCUCCUCCUCCUCCUCCUCCUCCUCCUCGGGCGAGUCUUUAAAUAUCUCUGGUUUACGUUUACUUCGGUCGAAAUUUCGAACACAAUGCCGUCUCGAUUUCACCAGGGUCAAUGGAUGGUAACUAGUGUGAGUUUACUAUAGGAUAGUUAAAAUACCCGCGUAAAUGCCAGAAGCGGGUGGUCACCGCGGUCUCUGCUCGAACAAUGGACGGACAACUCACGCCGAAUAUUUUAGCAAAUACCUACAACUGCGCUAAAUAGUUUACCUCGUUACACGCGAAGAAUUUGAAAUCGGAAAAUUAUAAAAGAAAACAAAUGAAACAAAACUCUCAAAAAGGAUGACAUUCUCGGGUGUUUUUAUUAAACUUGCAUCAUGCGCUGCGCUCUUUGAUUUUGUUCUUAUUCACUCUUGUGUAUGACUGAUGCAAAAUUAUGACUAAAACAUUUCUAGAUGAGAACGUUCACACGAAACGGAUCAAUGUCAUCACGAUUAGCUAGAUGUAAGCCAGGUAAAAUUCAACUGACUCACCAGAUCAACUGAACACGCGCGUCUACCGCGAGUACGCAUAUCGAAUUAUACUAUACCUACAUAUAAGCACGUUUGUAUCUUUCCUCAAAUUCUAUCAAGAUCAGUUGCAGUUUCAUAUCGCGUUUUUGAUCGUCGAGUUUUAUUGCUGAUUCCGAUAGCGACCCAGAUAACGUAAAAUCAGACGAACUGGACGGAGGUUCGGCUACAAUCUACGCGUGCAACAACUCGGAAAAAAAUGUGUCAAUGCGAUCGGGUAUUUCGUAUUUUCAAAAAAAUUUUCUUCUUUCUCUUUUUUCUUCCCAUUUCUUUCGCAUGUUCGAUUUUAUAACCGAUAUCUGCGGCAACUGGCGCCAAGUUGGGACGGAUUCCGCAAAAAUCCAGACUAAACGCGGAGAUUGGAAUUAAUAAUCGAACCGAAGAAAAGAGGAUCACAGAGGAUGAAAAAAAAUUCGAAUGAAACGCCGUAUCCGCAGUCGAAACCCGGAAAAAUUUCAAAAUUUUCCAGACAAUUGAAAAAAAAUGGACACGCGGCCACACAUGCCACUAGAUGGUCGAAAAUUUUCAUAGGCGAAAAAAAGAAAAAAAAAAAACCUGUCGAACCAGAAGAAAGCGCGUACUAGCCGCAGCGCAAAGAUGACAGGUGUGGUUCGACAAAGUGAUCAAAUAGAUAGUUGGCUACCAUGCAAUGAACAUAUAUAUUUUUACAAACACAUGUGACACACAUAUGUAUAUUCUAAUUGCAGUCACAUCACUGCCAUAAUGUAUACGAAGAAGAAGACGUUUUUAAUGACAUAAGUCUUUAUUCAACGUCGUCUCGUUUAUCGAAGCAUUAUUAUACACCGUAAAGUAUGCGUGUGUGUACAUGAGACUUUAAGUGAGAGCUAAUGAAAUAACAAUAAAUAACGUGGUGGCGAUAACGGUUAGGUGUGGUAUACGGUGUGUUGUAAAACAAGCUACCGCAUAUAAUCUAGCUUUGUUAGACAUUGAGAAAAAUUACGUCAAUACGAGAUUCGUAAUUUUACGAUGCGCUCGGAAUACGCGAGGCAUUUCGCUUGCCAAAUUGCGAUCGCAUUAAUUAGUUGAGCGAAUUCUUAUAAUCACUGCCGCAGUUUCCGUAAACGACGCGUCCUGCACGUACGAUAGCGUAACGACGACGGGUGACGUCAUCGCGACGCCGGGGAUCCUGGGAUCUUCCGCGGUUUUUUUAGAAAUUUUCCCACUCCACUUUCAAGGGGGAUAUUGAAAACGGCGGAAAUUACGUCUAACGAUGCCCCCAAAGCAGGGGGAAUUUCCCGAACGACGAUCUCGCGACCGCGAUGCAUCGUCGGAUCGUUGUAAUUUGAAAUUGAUUUCGUUAUUUCAAAUUUAUUUUUGAUCAAAGACGGAGGUUCAAUGCACCCCAAGUGCACUGUGCCGCGAUUUGACCUCACGCGGUUCGUGGAACUUCACUCUGGAUGCGGGCCAUAAAUCAAAGUAUCUUCCUAUACUGCGCGGCUCUAAUUUAUUCAACGAUGUUCAUCGAUCAAUUAAACAACAAUUAUACACAGAUAUUCGAUAUAACAUCACAUGUGCACGCAAUUGUUUGGACAUCUCGCCUUAUCUUCGGCUCUUUUCCUCUUAGUUGUACAUUAUGCGGUUCUUCCCGCUCGUCCCCACCUACCGAUUCAACGCCUGUGUGUAUUCACACGUAAUUAUCUCUGUGUACCGUGAUUAAUUUCCUGAUAUGUAUUAUAUAAUUUAUACAAACAAAUCACAAGUGAAUUACACACCGAGGACAAUCAAAGUUCAUAAAAUGAAGAAUACGUAUAAUGAAUAAUAAUUAUUCUCCCUAUCGCUCGUAUAUUUGUAUAAACAAAUUUAUUGUUAUAAUCUGUGUUAACUACCAUCCGUAGGUAUCGAACAAACGUUUAUUUGGAUAAAUAAAAUGUAAUGCAGAUACGUAUGAACUUUGAGAAAUUUCAUUGAUUUUUAUGCAAUAAGAAGUUUGAUCCAAUUCGUCGAUAAAGAAGUUGAUGCAGAUGUAGAUCGUGCGGGAUGUACGCGGUCGGUAAGGUAGGAGAGGGAGAAAAAUAUUGGGGGAAAAAAAAAAAAAAGAAGAUAAUGCCAACGAACACCCACCGGACAUCACUCUUAUAUAAUUUUAGAGUAGCUUCGUUACGAGGACGUAUACAUAACAUAUUUUUAAAUGAGCACAGUGCAAUGAUGUUGGACA